This 396-nucleotide ribosomal RNA is filed under the name uncultured bacterium. RNAcentral's name for it is "partial 16S ribosomal RNA". It matches the Rfam family "Bacterial small subunit ribosomal RNA", at positions 361 to 774 of the family's 1533-position model. The record is from RNAcentral.
AUCUUGCGUAUUGGGCGAAAGCCUGACGGAGCAACGCCACGUCAGGGAAGUAGGUCGUCGGUUCGCAAACUUCUGUCACCGAGGACGAUAAAUACCGUACACGCUGAGGAAGCCCCGGCCACCCACGUUCCAGCAGCCGCGGUAACACGUAGGGGGCGAGCGUUGUCCGGAAUUACUGGGCGUAAAGGGCGCGUAGGCGGCCUAAUAAGUCAGAUGUGAAACCCCCGGGCUUAACCCUGGGCUUGCAUUUGAAACUGUUGGGCUUGAGGACAGGAGAGGAAAGCGGAAUUCCCAGUGUAGCGGUGAAAUGCGUAGAUAUUGGGAGGAACACCAGUGGCGAAGGCGGCUUUCUGGACUGUAACUGACGCUGAGGCGCGAAAGCCAGGGUAGCGAACG